This 91-nucleotide transfer RNA is filed under the name Micrococcus lylae. Its description in RNAcentral is "tRNA-Ser". It matches the Rfam family "tRNA". From Rfam's summary of the family: Transfer RNA (tRNA) molecules are approximately 80 nucleotides in length. Their secondary structure includes four short double-helical elements and three loops (D, anti-codon, and T loops). Further hydrogen bonds mediate the characteristic L-shaped molecular structure. tRNAs have two regions of fundamental functional importance: the anti-codon, which is responsible for specific mRNA codon recognition, and the 3' end, to which the tRNAs corresponding amino acid is attached (by aminoacyl-tRNA synthetases). tRNAs cope with the degeneracy of the genetic code in two manners: having more than one tRNA (with a specific anti-codon) for a particular amino acid; and 'wobble' base-pairing, i.e. permitting non-standard base-pairing at the 3rd anti-codon position. The record is from RNAcentral. Lineage: Bacteria; Bacillati; Actinomycetota; Actinomycetes; Micrococcales; Micrococcaceae. RNAcentral also lists the same sequence under 2 other names.
GGAUGGUUGUCCGAGCGGCCGAAGGAGCCGGUCUUGAAAACCGGUGUGCGGUGACCCCGUACCGAGGGUUCGAAUCCCUCACCAUCCGCCA